AUUGAACGCUGGCGGCAGGCUUAACACAUGCAAGUCGAACGAGCGGCGGACGGGUGAGUAAUGUCUGGGAAACUGCCCGAUGGAGGGGGAUAACUACUGGACACGGUCGCUAAUACCGCAUACCAUCAGAUGUGCCCAGAUUGGAUUAGCUAGUAGGUGGGGUAAUGGCUCACCGAGGCGACGAGCCCUAGCUGGUAUGAGAGGAUGACCAGCCACACUGGAACUGAGACACGGUCCAGACUCCUACGGGAGGCAGCAGUGGGGAAUAUUGCACAAUGGGGGAAAGCCUGAUGCAGCCAUGCCGCGUGUGUGAAGAAGGCCUUCGGGUUGUAAAGUACUUUCAGCGAGGAGGCGUUACUCGCAGAAGAAGCACCGGCUAACUCCGUGCCAGCAGCCGCGGUAAUUC
RNAcentral lists this ribosomal RNA (406 nucleotides) under uncultured bacterium. RNAcentral's name for it is "partial 16S ribosomal RNA". It matches the Rfam family "Bacterial small subunit ribosomal RNA", at positions 30 to 526 of the family's 1533-position model. The record is from RNAcentral.